RNAcentral lists this ribosomal RNA (253 nucleotides) under uncultured bacterium. RNAcentral describes it as "partial 16S ribosomal RNA". It matches the Rfam family "Bacterial small subunit ribosomal RNA", at positions 524 to 776 of the family's 1533-position model. The record is from RNAcentral.
UACGAAGGGGGCUAGCGUUGCUCGGAAUCACUGGGCGUAAAGCGCACGUAGGCGGAUCUUUAAGUCAGGGGUGAAAUCCUGGAGCUCAACUCCAGACCUGCCUUUGAUACUGGGGAUCUCGAGUCCGGGAGAGGUGAGUGGAACUCCGAGUGUAGAGGUGAAAUUCGUAGAUAUUCGGAAGAACACCAGUGGCGAAGGCGGCUCACUGGGCCGGUACUGACGCUGAGGUGCGAAAGCGUGGGGAGCAAACGGG